Molecule: ribosomal RNA, 362 nt
Filed under: uncultured bacterium
Lineage: Bacteria
Description: bacterial SSU rRNA
Rfam family: Bacterial small subunit ribosomal RNA
Source: RNAcentral
GAUGAACGCUAGCGGCAGGCUUAACACAUGCAAGUCGAGGGGCAGCGCAGAUAGCAAUAUUGGGCGGCGACCGGCAAACGGGUGCGGAACACGUACAGAAUCCACCUUGAUCUGGGGCAUAGCCCGGAGAAAUCCGGAUUAACUCCCCAUAACAUAUAUGAGUGGCAUCACUUGAAUAUUAAAAUUUAUUGGAUCGAGAUGACUGUGCGUCCCAUAGCUAGUUGGUAGGGUAACGGCCUACCAAGGCGACGAUGGGUAGCUGGUGUGAGAGCACGACCAGCCACACGGGCACUGAGACACGGGCCCGACUCCUACGGGAGGCAGCAGUGAGGAAUAUUGGUCAAUGGACGCAAGUCUGAACC